GCCCCCAUCGUCUAGCGGUCUAGGACAUCGCCCUUUCACGGCGGAAACACGGGUUCGAGUCCCGUUGGGGGUACCA
Molecule: transfer RNA, 76 nt
Filed under: Alphaproteobacteria bacterium
Lineage: Bacteria; Pseudomonadati; Pseudomonadota; Alphaproteobacteria
Description: tRNA-Glu
Rfam family: tRNA
About the family: Transfer RNA (tRNA) molecules are approximately 80 nucleotides in length.
Source: RNAcentral